RNAcentral lists this ribosomal RNA (505 nucleotides) under uncultured bacterium. RNAcentral's name for it is "partial 16S ribosomal RNA". It matches the Rfam family "Bacterial small subunit ribosomal RNA", at positions 28 to 507 of the family's 1533-position model. The record is from RNAcentral.
GACGAACGCUGGCGGCGUGCCUAAUACAUGCAAGUAGAACGCACAGUUUAUACCGUAGCUUGCUACACCAUAGACUGUGAGUUGCGAACGGGUGAGUAACGCGUAGGUAACCUGCCUGGUAGCGGGGGAUAACUAUUGGAAACGAUCGCUAAUACCGCAUAAUAUUAAUUAUUGCAUGAUAAUUAAUUGAAAGGUGCAAUUGCACCACUACCAGAUGGACCUGCGUUGUAUUAGCUAGUAGGUGAGGUAACGGCUCACCUAGGCGACGAUACAUAGCCGACCUGAGAGGGUGAUCGGCCACACUGGGACUGAGACACGGCCCAGACUCCUACGGGAGGCAGCAGUAGGGAAUCUUCGGCAAUGGACGAAAGUCUGACCGAGCAACGCCGCGUGAGUGAAGAAGGUUUUCGGAUCGUAAAGCUCGGUUGUAAGAGAAGAACGGGUGUGAGAGUGGAAAGUUCACACUGUGACGGUAUCUUACCAGAAAGGGACGGCUAACUACGUG